Molecule: ribosomal RNA, 406 nt
Filed under: uncultured bacterium
Lineage: Bacteria
Description: partial 16S ribosomal RNA
Rfam family: Bacterial small subunit ribosomal RNA
Source: RNAcentral
AUUGAACGCUGGCGGCAGGCCUAACACAUGCAAGUCGAACGAGUGGCGGACGGGUGAGUAAUGUCUGGGAAACUGCCUGAUGGAGGGGGAUAACUACUGGAAAAGGUAGCUAAUACCGCAUACCAUCAGCUGUGCCCAGAUGGGAUUAGCUUGUUGGUGGGGUAACGGCUCACCAAGGCGACGAUCCCUAGCUGGUUUGAGAGGCAGACCCGCCACACGGGGACUGAGAAACGGCCCAGAAUCCGACGGGAGGCAGCAGUGGGGAAUAUAGGACAAGGGGGGCAAACCUGACGCAGCCAUGCCGGGGGUAUGAAGAAGGCCUGCGGGUUGGAAAAGACUGUUGGCAGGGAGGCGUUACCCGCAGAAGAAGCACCGGCUAACUCCGUGCCAGCAGCCGCGGUAAUUC